GUGCUCGAUUUAGCAGCACAUACACUAAAAUUGGAACAUACAGAGAAUAUGUGCAUGACCCAUGCACAAGGAGGACAUGAACACACAUGCACACACACACUCACUC
Hyaena hyaena (striped hyena) is the source of this 106-nucleotide small nuclear RNA. The record is from RefSeq and is a predicted model, not a curated record. NCBI's taxonomy places the organism in Eukaryota, Metazoa, Chordata, Mammalia, Carnivora, Hyaenidae.